This 532-nucleotide ribosomal RNA is filed under the name Colletotrichum gigasporum. RNAcentral's name for it is "SSU rRNA". It matches the Rfam family "Eukaryotic small subunit ribosomal RNA", at positions 674 to 1210 of the family's 1831-position model. Lineage: Eukaryota; Fungi; Ascomycota; Sordariomycetes; Glomerellales; Glomerellaceae. The record is from RNAcentral.
UGCCACUGGUCCGGCCGGGCCUUUCCCUCUGUGGAACCGCAUGCCCUUCACUGGGUGUGCCGGGGAAACAGGACUUUUACUUUGAAAAAAUUAGAGUGCUCCAGGCAGGCCUAUGCUCGAAUACAUUAGCAUGGAAUAAUAGAAUAGGACGUGUGGUUCUAUUUUGUUGGUUUCUAGGACCGCCGUAAUGAUUAAUAGGGACAGUCGGGGGCAUCAGUAUUCAAUUGUCAGAGGUGAAAUUCUUGGAUUUAUUGAAGACUAACUACUGCGAAAGCAUUUGCCAAGGAUGUUUUCAUUUAUCAGGAACGAAAGUUAGGGGAUCGAAGACGAUCAGAUACCGUCGUAGUCUUAACCAUAAACUAUGCCGACUAGGGAUCGGACGAUGUUAUUUUUUGACUCGUUCGGCACCUUACGAGAAAUCAAAGUGCUUGGGCUCCAGGGGGAGUAUGGUCGCAAGGCUGAAACUUAAAGAAAUUGACGGAAGGGCACCACCAGGGGUGGAGCCUGCGGCUUAAUUUGACUCAACACGGCU